Molecule: ribosomal RNA, 1334 nt
Filed under: Diederichomyces caloplacae
Lineage: Eukaryota; Fungi; Ascomycota; Dothideomycetes; Pleosporales; Phaeosphaeriaceae
Description: partial 28S ribosomal RNA
Rfam family: Eukaryotic large subunit ribosomal RNA
Source: RNAcentral
GGGAUUGCCCUAGUAACGGCGAGUGAAGCGGCAACAGCUCAAAUUUGAAAUCUGGCUCUUUNAGNGUCCGAGUUGUAAUUUGCAGAGGGCGCUUUGGCGUUGGCAGCGGUCCAAGUUCUUUGGAACAGGACGUCACAGAGGGUGAGAAUCCCGUACGUGGUCGCUAGCCUUCGCCGUGUAAAGCCCCUUCGACGAGUCGAGUUGUUUGGGAAUGCAGCUCUAAAUGGGAGGUAAAUUUCUUCUAAAGCUAAAUACUGGCCAGAGACCGAUAGCGCACAAGUAGAGUGAUCGAAAGAUGAAAAGCACUUUGGAAAGAGAGUCAAAUAGCACGUGAAAUUGUUGAAAGGGAAGCGCUUGCAGCCAGACUUGCCUGUAGUUGCUUAUCYGGACUUUUGUCCGGUGCACUCUUCUGCGGGCAGGCCAGCAUCAGUUUGGGCGGUUGGAUAAAGGUCUCUGUCAUGUACCUCCUUUCGGGGAGGCCUUAUAGGGGAGACGACAURCAACCAGCCUGGACUGAGGUCCGCGCAUCUGCUAGGAUGCUGGCGUAAUGGCUGUAAGCGGCCCGUCUUGAAACACGGACCAAGGAGUCUAACAUCUAUGCGAGUGUUUGGGUGUCAAGCCCAGACGCGUAAUGAAAGUGAACGGAGGUGGGAACCUUUUAGGUGCACCAUCGACCGAUCCUGAUGUCUUCGGAAGGAUUUGAGUAAGAGCAUGGCUGUUGGGACCCGAAAGAUGGUGAACUAUGCUUGAAUAGGGUGAAGCCAGAGGAAACUCUGGUGGAGGCUCGCAGCGGUUCUGACGUGCAAAUCGAUCGUCAAAUUUGGGCAUAGGGGCGAAAGACUAAUCGAACUAUCUAGUAGCUGGUUCCUGCCGAAGUUUCCCUCAGGAUAGCAGUAACGUAUUCAGUUUUAUGAGGUAAAGCGAAUGAUUAGAGGCCUGGGGGUUGAAACAACCUUCACCUAUUCUCAAACUUUAAAUAUGUAAGAAGUCCUUGUUACUUGAUUGAACGUGGACACUUGAAUGUACCGUUACUAGUGGGCCAUUUUUGGUAAGCAGAACUGGCGAUGCGGGAUGAACCGAACGCGGGGUUAAGGUGCCAGAAUAUACGCUCAUCAGACACCACAAAAGGUGUUAGUUCAUCUAGACAGCAGGACGGUGGCCAUGGAAGUCGGAAUCCGCUAAGGAGUGUGUAACAACUCACCUGCCGAAUGAACUAGCCCUGAAAAUGGAUGGCGCUCAAGCGUAUUACCCAUACCCCGCCGCCGGGGCAGAAUUUAUGCCCCGGCGAGUAGGCAGGCGUGGAGGCUCGUGACGAAGCCUUGGGGGUGACCCCG